GCGUCCAUGAUGUAGUGGUAGCCUGCUGCUUUUCCAAGGCGGAUGUGUGGGUUCGAUUCCCAUUGGACGCU
RNAcentral lists this transfer RNA (71 nucleotides) under Mariniblastus sp. RNAcentral's name for it is "tRNA-Gly". It matches the Rfam family "tRNA". Rfam says of the family: Transfer RNA (tRNA) molecules are approximately 80 nucleotides in length. Their secondary structure includes four short double-helical elements and three loops (D, anti-codon, and T loops). Further hydrogen bonds mediate the characteristic L-shaped molecular structure. tRNAs have two regions of fundamental functional importance: the anti-codon, which is responsible for specific mRNA codon recognition, and the 3' end, to which the tRNAs corresponding amino acid is attached (by aminoacyl-tRNA synthetases). tRNAs cope with the degeneracy of the genetic code in two manners: having more than one tRNA (with a specific anti-codon) for a particular amino acid; and 'wobble' base-pairing, i.e. permitting non-standard base-pairing at the 3rd anti-codon position. The record is from RNAcentral. Lineage: Bacteria; Pseudomonadati; Planctomycetota; Planctomycetia; Pirellulales; Pirellulaceae.